GCUUCUGAUUUCACCGGGUUCGUCUAGUCUAUAUCAGCACUCUGUAAGCUGAGCUUUUUCCUUCAAAUCUACUGAAGACCCAUUUCGAAUUUUCGAUUUGCAAGAUUUCUUUUAUUCCACAAAGCCCCUAGUCUGAUCCCGCACUCUCACUUCCUAAAUAAUUUUUCGGUGGAUCCGCUGCCGGACAACAUGAUCGGCUAACUGGUACUCGUCUUGGGAAUCGGAACUUGCCUGGAUUACUAUCUCCAUAUUUUUGGGACAAAUCGAAGGCGAUAUGUGGUCAGAACAGGAUGAAACAUGCUUCUUUUGUAUAUAUGACCAUAUCAAAUCUGACUAUUGGUUGUGAGAAUGCAAAGACAACCACUGAAGUCCCCUUGCAAACCGCAGAUGGAGUUGGAUAGGAUUAGCAACUUACCGUGUCAUGUUGCA
This is a non-coding RNA of Prunus mume (Japanese apricot), 429 nucleotides long. NCBI's taxonomy places the organism in Eukaryota, Viridiplantae, Streptophyta, Magnoliopsida, Rosales, Rosaceae. The record is from RefSeq and is a predicted model, not a curated record.